RNAcentral lists this ribosomal RNA (309 nucleotides) under Astrometis sertulifera. RNAcentral's name for it is "partial 12S ribosomal RNA". The record is from RNAcentral. Lineage: Eukaryota; Metazoa; Echinodermata; Asteroidea; Forcipulatida; Asteriidae.
UUUCUAAUUCUACCUGGAGGAGCUUGCUAUCUAACCGAUAAUCCACGUCAUACCUCACCAGCUUUUGAAAUAUAACAGCUUGUAUACCAUCGUCGUCAGUUUACUUCAUGAGAAAUGUAAACAAAAAGAACCAGACCUUCUUGACGUCAGAUCGAGGUGCAGCUAAUAAGCUGGGGAUAAGUGAGCUACAAUCAUACUAAUAAUCUAAACUCUAUCGAUGAACAGCAGCCUGAAACAACUGCCCGAAACAGGAUUCAGAAGUAAUGGACAAAAGAAAAUGCCCACGAACAAUUAAGCCCUAGAACGCGC